CAAAUCUCGUGCCAGCAGUCGCGGCAAUACGAGGAAGACUAGUGUUAUUCAUCUUUAUUAGGUUUAAAGGGUACCUAGACAGUAUUUCUAGCCUCCAAAGGGAACAGAUUUACUAGAGUUUUAUGUGAGAGGAAAAUAUUAGAACCAUUGGAGUAGUGAUAAAAUGUUUUGAUACUAAUGGGACGGAUAACGGCGAAGGCAAACCUCUAUGUAAUAACUGACGUUGAGGGACGAAG
Molecule: ribosomal RNA, 236 nt
Filed under: Chloropicon mariensis
Lineage: Eukaryota; Viridiplantae; Chlorophyta; Chloropicophyceae; Chloropicales; Chloropicaceae
Description: partial Bacterial small subunit ribosomal RNA
Rfam family: Bacterial small subunit ribosomal RNA
Source: RNAcentral